GAUGAACGCUGGCGGUAUGCUUAACACAUGCAAGUCGAACGGUAACAGGCCUUCGGGCGCUGACGAGUGGCGGACGGGUGAGUAACGCGUAGGAAUCUGCCUCAUAGUGGGGGACAACGUGGGGAAACUCACGCUAAUACCGCAUACGCCCUACGGGGGAAAGCGGGGGAUCUUCGGACCUCGCGCUAUGAGAUGAGCCUGCGUUAGAUUAGCUAGUUGGUAGGGUAAAGGCCUACCAAGGCGACGAUCUAUAGCUGGUCUGAGAGGACGAUCAGCCACACUGGACUGAGACACGGCCCAGACUCCUACGGGAGGCAGCAGUGGGGAAUAUUGGACAAUGGGCGCAAGCCUGAUCCAGCAAUACCGCGUGUGUGAAGAAGGCCUAGGUUGUAAGCACUUCAAUUGGAGGAAA
Molecule: ribosomal RNA, 412 nt
Filed under: uncultured bacterium
Lineage: Bacteria
Description: bacterial SSU rRNA
Rfam family: Bacterial small subunit ribosomal RNA
Source: RNAcentral